AGCUUUUUGCUUAUUGGUUACUGGUGAUACUUGCCGGAGAACUGAAACGGUCCCGCUGUUGGUAAUUUCUUCCGGAAUUUGUGCCCUCUGCUUUUGGCCCGAGGAGCACUGAGGAAGCCCUGGGCUUAAUAGUUCCGGAUAAACUUGGGAGGGCGUUCGAAGAGAAACACUUUGUGCAGCUGCCGCCAGGUGGAACCAGAAAGCAGCGUGAAGGUCGAAAUUCGUGUUUUAGACUUAAAUGAGAUAAUGGAUGUCAAAGAGCCUUUAAAAAGGAUUUUAAGGCCGGGCGUGGCUCACGCCUGUAAUCUCAGCACUUUGGGAGAUCGCAGAGGAAGGAUCGUUUGAGCCCAGGAGCUCGAGGCUGCAAUGAGCGAGAAGGAGAACUUAGCUGGAUUUCUCCUGCUGCUUUGAGAAUAGUCUGGAGGAUGGGGAGAGCCCGCCUGCACCCAGGUGAAAUAAACAGCCAUGUUGCUCACACAAAGCCUGUUUGGUGGUCUCUUCACACGGACGCAUGAAACAAUACCGAUGUCUUAAAGACCUUUCUCUCUGGGAGGAAAGAGAAGGAGAUGGAUGAAGAAGCAGAGACAAAUUGAGUUGGGGAGAGGAGGGAAGUUGCAGAACCUCCUGCAAAUGACGUUUUUCUCAGAAUCUCGAUCUGUAGCCCAGGCUGGAGUGUAG
This 678-nucleotide long non-coding RNA is filed under the name Papio anubis (olive baboon). RNAcentral's name for it is "lncRNA (ENSPANG00000046670.1)". Lineage: Eukaryota; Metazoa; Chordata; Mammalia; Primates; Cercopithecidae. The record is from RNAcentral.